RNAcentral lists this ribosomal RNA (468 nucleotides) under uncultured bacterium. Its description in RNAcentral is "partial 16S ribosomal RNA". It matches the Rfam family "Bacterial small subunit ribosomal RNA", at positions 28 to 507 of the family's 1533-position model. The record is from RNAcentral.
GACGAACGCUGGCGGCGUGCUUAACACAUGCAAGUCGAACGGAAAGGCCCUGCUUUUGUGGGGUGCUCGAGUGGCGAACGGGUGAGUAACACGUGAGUAACCUGCCCUUUACUUUGGGAUAACUUCAGGAAACUGGGGCUAAUACCGGAUAGGAGCUCCUGCUGCAUGGUGGGGGUUGGAAAGUUUCGGCGGUUGGGGAUGGACUCGCGGCUUAUCAGCUUGUUGGUGGGGUAGUGGCUUACCAAGGCUUUGACGGGUAGCCGGCCUGAGAGGGUGACCGGCCACAUUGGGACUGAGAUACGGCCCAGACUCCUACGGGAGGCAGCAGUGGGGAAUAUUGCACAAUGGGCGGAAGCCUGAUGCAGCAACGCCGCGUGCGGGAUGACGGCCUUCGGGCUGUAAACCGCUUUCGCCUGUGACGAAGCGUGAGUGACGGUAAUGGGUAAAGAAGCACCGGCUAACUACGUG